RNAcentral lists this transfer RNA (85 nucleotides) under bacterium. Its description in RNAcentral is "tRNA-Leu". It matches the Rfam family "tRNA". From Rfam's summary of the family: Transfer RNA (tRNA) molecules are approximately 80 nucleotides in length. Their secondary structure includes four short double-helical elements and three loops (D, anti-codon, and T loops). Further hydrogen bonds mediate the characteristic L-shaped molecular structure. tRNAs have two regions of fundamental functional importance: the anti-codon, which is responsible for specific mRNA codon recognition, and the 3' end, to which the tRNAs corresponding amino acid is attached (by aminoacyl-tRNA synthetases). tRNAs cope with the degeneracy of the genetic code in two manners: having more than one tRNA (with a specific anti-codon) for a particular amino acid; and 'wobble' base-pairing, i.e. permitting non-standard base-pairing at the 3rd anti-codon position. The record is from RNAcentral.
GCCGCCGUGGCGAAAUGCAGACGCAGAGGAUUCAAAAUCCUCCGGAGGCAACUCCAUGUCGGUUCGAAUCCGACCGGCGGCACCA